GUUGGAAGGUGGUUGGAGCUUUGGAACGUGGAGAGAAGUGGUAAGUUAACUGUCAGGAUGGCAAAAUAUUGAAGACACAGCUCAAGCCGUGCUUUGUGGGGUCGGAAAAGCUAUCACAGGCGGUGGAUCCUGCCCAGAGACAGCAGAUAAAGAU
Molecule: long non-coding RNA, 154 nt
Filed under: Chinchilla lanigera (long-tailed chinchilla)
Lineage: Eukaryota; Metazoa; Chordata; Mammalia; Rodentia; Chinchillidae
Description: lncRNA (ENSCLAG00000023120.1)
Source: RNAcentral